UAGACUGGGGCUUGUGUCUUAGCAUUUAGCUGUUAACUAAAAGGUUGUAGAGUAAAAUCUACCUGUCUAG
Molecule: transfer RNA, 70 nt
Filed under: Herpele squalostoma
Lineage: Eukaryota; Metazoa; Chordata; Amphibia; Gymnophiona; Herpelidae
Description: tRNA-Asn
Source: RNAcentral